RNAcentral lists this ribosomal RNA (797 nucleotides) under uncultured microorganism. RNAcentral describes it as "bacterial SSU rRNA". It matches the Rfam family "Bacterial small subunit ribosomal RNA", at positions 56 to 834 of the family's 1533-position model. The record is from RNAcentral.
UGCAAGUCGAACGCGAAAGUCCUUCGGGAUGAGUAAAGUGGCGCACGGGUGAGUAACACGUAGGUGACCUGCCUUUUAGAGGGGAAUAACCAGAAGAAAUUUUGGCUAAUGCCGCAUACGAAGUACAAAAGUAAAAGUAGUACUUGAAAGGAUGCCUCUGUAUAUGCAUCCACUAAAAGAUGGGCCUGCGGAACAUUAGCUAGUUGGUGGGGUAAAGGCCUACCAAGGCAACGAUGUUUAUCCGGUCUGAGAGGAUGAUCGGACACACUGGAACUGAGACACGGUCCAGACUCCUACGGGAGGCAGCAGUGGGGAAUAUUGCGCAAUGGGGGAAACCCUGACGCAGCAACGCCGCGUGAGUGAGGAAGGACUUCGGUCUGUAAAGCUCUGUUAAUGUGGAAAAAUGGUAGUUGGUCUAAUAGGCCGAUUAUUUGAUGGUACACAUAGAGGAAGCACCGGCUAACUUCGUGCCAGCAGCCGCGGUAAUACGAAGGGUGCAAGCGUUGUUCGGAUUUAUUGGGCGUAAAGCGCGCGUAGGCGGGCCUGCAAGUCAGAUGUGAAAUCUCGAGGCUCAACCUCGAAACUGCGUCUGAAACUACAGGUCUAGAAUCUCGGAGGGGGAAGGGGAAUUUCGCAUGUAGGGGUAAAAUCCGUAGAUAUGCGAAGGAACACCAGAGGCGAAGGCGCCUUCCUGGACGAGUAUUGACGCUGAGGCGCGAAAGCGUGGGGAUCAAACAGGAUUAGAUACCCUGGUAGUCCACGCUGUAAACGAUGAACACUAGGUAUUGGAGGAUUUG